This 107-nucleotide small nuclear RNA is filed under the name Tupaia belangeri chinensis (Chinese tree shrew). Lineage: Eukaryota; Metazoa; Chordata; Mammalia; Scandentia; Tupaiidae. The record is from RNAcentral.
UUGCUCGCUUCGGCAGCACAUGUACUAAAAUUGAAACGAUGUAGAGAAGAUUAGCAUGGCCUCUGUGCAAGGCUGACAUGCAAAUUUGUGAAGCGUUCCAUGAUUUU